Molecule: long non-coding RNA, 1306 nt
Organism: Mizuhopecten yessoensis (Yesso scallop)
Lineage: Eukaryota; Metazoa; Mollusca; Bivalvia; Pectinida; Pectinidae
Exons: 3
Source: RefSeq, a predicted model, not a curated record
GUUAGGGAAGGGAGGGAAAAGGUGCAGUAAAUGAAGAAAUUGAAAAGGUGCAGUUAGGGAAGGGAGGGAAAUGGUGCAGUAAAUGAAGAAAUGGAAAAGGUGCAGUAAAUAAGGAAAUGGAAAAGGUGCAGGUAGGGAAGGGAGGUAAAGGUGCAGUUAGGGAAGAAAUGGAAAAGGUGCAGUUAGGGAAGGGAGGGAAAAGGUGCAGUAAAUGAAGAAAUGGAAAAGGUGCAGUAAAUAAGGAAAUUGAAAAGGUGCAGGUAGGGAAGGGAGGGUAAAGGUGCAGUUAGGGAAGAAAUGGAAAAGGUGCAGUUAAGGAAGGGAGGGAAAUGGUGCAGUAAAUGAGGAAAUGGAAAAGGUGCAGUAAAUAAGGAAAUGGAAAAGGUGCAGGUAGGGAAGGGAGGUAAAGGUGCAGUUAGGGAAGAAAUGGAAAAGGUGCAGUUAGGGAAGGGACGGAAAAGGUGCAGUAAAUAAAGAAAUGGAAAAGGUGCAGUUAGGGAAGGGAGGGAAAAGGUGCAGUAAAUGAAGAAAUGGAAAAGGUGCAGUUAGGGAAGGGAGGGAAAAGGUGCAGUAAAUGAAGAAAUGGAAAAGGUGCAGUUAGGGAAGGGAGGGAAAAGGUGCAGUAAAUGAAGAAAUGGAAAAGGUGCAGUUAGGGAAGAAAGGGAAAAGGUGCAGUUAGGGAAGGGAGGGAAAAGGUGCAGUAAAUGAAGAAAGGGAAAAGGUGCAGUUAGGGAAGGGAGGGAAAAGGUGCAGUUAGGGAAGGGAGGGAAAAGGUGCAGUAAAUGAAGAAAUGGAAAAGGUGCAGUUAGGGAAGGGAGGGAAAAGGUGCAGUAAAUGAAGAAAUGGAAAAGGUGCAGUUAGGGAAGGGAGGGAAAAGGUGCAGUAAAUGAAGAAAUGGAAAAGGUGCAGUUAGGGAAGGGAGGGAAAAGGUGCAGUAAAUGAAGAAAUGGAAAAGGUGCAGUUAGGGAAGGGAGGGAAAAGGUGCAGUAAAUGAAGAAAUGGAAAAGGUGCAGUUAGGGAAGGGAGGGAAAUGGUGCAGUAAAUGAAGAAAUGUAAAAGGUGCAGUAAAUAAGGAAAUGGAAAUGGUGCAGGUAGGGAAGGGAGGGUAAAGGUGCAGUUAGGGAAGAAAUGGAAAAGAUGCAGUUAGGGAAGGGAGGGAAAAGGUGCAGUAAAUGAAGAAAUGGAAAAGGUGUCAGUUAGGGAAGGGAGGGAAAAGGUGCAGUUAGGGAAAGGAGGGAAAAGGUGCGGUUAGGGAAGGGAGGGAAAAGGUGCAGUAAAUGAAGAAAUGGAAAAGUUGCAGUUAGGG